CCCUCACCACCGCCGGUACCGGGGGGCUCGGGCACGCGGGUGUUGGGACCCGGGCAGGGCUCCGGUUCUCUGGCUACAGCACAGAGCUGCCCCGUACCGGCUGCGGGGAACGGGCCUCACCCGGCGGUUCCGAGCCCGGUGCCCGCACACGUUCGGGUGCGUCCGGCCCCGUCUCCCCGCGGGCUCUGCCCGUCCCGCUCCCGCUGGAAGCGCUUGGCCGGGCAGCGCCCGUCCCCGCCCCGACUAUGCCGCACUCCGAGCCCGGGGGGAGUGGGGGCCGCGGUCCCCGACGAGGCGCCCCCGGCUCCUGUGGCCACUGCGCUUCUGGCCCCCGAGCGGCCAGGGACAGGCCCGGAGACCCGGGGGACGUGGGUGCCGCAUCGCUGCGGGGCAAUGGCGGGGCUGAUCCCCGCGGCCUGGCGGGCCCCGAGCUUCCUGCAGCGGCGCCGAGCAGGAAGCGGCUGUUGGCGGCGGCUUUCCUGCUCCGGGGGCCCUGGCGGCCUGAACGGGCGGUGCCGAGCCCGGCCCCGGCGUGGGUCCCAUCCUUCCCCUUCGGCCCUGCUAGACGGGGACCGGGGGUUGCGGUUCGGGGCUCCGCUUCCCGUCAGAAGGAGGGGUGGUGGCCCCGCAGGGGGGACGAACGGGGCCGCCCCGAGCCCGCAGCCGCGUCCCGAGCCCGCAUCUGAUGCCCUUGGAGCUUCGCUGAGUCAGACGGGGUGGGAGCGCGGCGUCCCCCCGACCUUCCCGGGCAUUGGCUCGGGAGCGAGCGGGCAGCGCUGGGGCGGGGCGGGCACCGGGAUAAACCCCCGGAGCACGGCCCCAGCCCAGGUGUCGAGGGCCCCGUGGUGGGAGGAUGCUCCUCAGGGCGCGGAUCCUCUGCUGCCUGCUCCUCGCCCUGCUCCAGCGCGCUUGGCCUGGGAGGAGGAGGAGGAGGCGUAUCUGAGGUGCUGA
RNAcentral lists this long non-coding RNA (951 nucleotides) under Amazona collaria (yellow-billed parrot). RNAcentral's name for it is "lncRNA (ENSACOG00000002842.1)". Lineage: Eukaryota; Metazoa; Chordata; Aves; Psittaciformes; Psittacidae. The record is from RNAcentral.